Molecule: long non-coding RNA, 2141 nt
Filed under: Homo sapiens (human)
Lineage: Eukaryota; Metazoa; Chordata; Mammalia; Primates; Hominidae
Description: HSALNT0039137
Source: RNAcentral
CAGGAACUUGCUCUGUCACCCACGACUGGAGUGCAGUGGCAUUAUCAUAGCUCACUGGAGCAUCAAACUCCCAGGCUCAAGGGAUUCUUCUACCUCAGCCUCCCGAGAAGAUUAGGUAUACAUCAGCAUGCCUCCCAAGGUGUGUAGCUGUCAUCAGUAAUGUUCUGGACAAACAUCUGUAAUAUCACCAAUGGCAGAAGACCAGCAUGGAAGAAAUAACCUUCAGAUUGGUGCAAUCAUUGCUCUGAGUCUUCUAGAGCUAACAAAUAAUAGACAUUUGCAAGAUGGUGGUAAAGUCAUCCAGGAGGCAUUGAGGAAGGUUGACGCAGAUAAUAUUUCCUCAAGAGGAUGGGCCCAGGCUCUGUGAUCUAGCCAACACAGGAAUUUGUUAAGUUUGGGCUUAUGUUCCUGCUGGAGGAGCAACGCUGGCACCUGAAUUACAGCCCGAUGGCGGGGGAUGAGCUGAGUGCUGAGCCUCCGCGAGGGAAGCGCUGUUCAAGCUGCUGGUUGACUUUUCCUGGGGCUGGGGGAUCCACCUUCACCAGUCAGCAGAAGUUAGACCGCCUCACAGGCACUCUGUGUUGCUCUCAGUGCUGGAGGCCAGGACCUGAGGGCCGAGGACAGAGCUUGGACAGAGAGGACCGCAGCCUGGGUUUCCCUUGGCCACUGGGAGCACUGGCAUCCUUGGCCAAGUUACUGCUUCCCUUUGACGCUCAGCUUCCUCCUGUGUUAAUAUUUAUUUGGUCUGAGGCAGUGCUCUCAGAUAUGAAACCCAUCUCCAAAGAAAAUUUUACAAGGAAGCCCUAUUUGUAGAACAAAUAGAAACUACUCUAAUUAAAGCAGCUGGAAGAUGAGUAGGGUGUUAGACCGAGGAAUUUUAAUAUUUGUUAUACUUAACAUCUGGAAACCAAUCGUUUCAAGUAUAAUUCUUGAUUACUUACUUUGGCUGAAGCUGCUCACAAAAAAACAAGAUAUUCUCUGACCACCUAAUGAAAACACUCUGCCCCCGGGAGCUCUCUGUGCCUUACACUGACGUACUUUUCCUUCUACUGUUUAUCGCCUCUGAUGCUAUAUUAUGAAUUUAUUUGCUUAUGUCCUUAUUGUAUAUUUUUCUCAUUAGACGCACACUCCAUCAGGAUCAGGGUUCUUUUCGUUUUAUUUGCCAUUAUAUUUCUAGCACUCAAAAUAACGCCUGGCACAUAAUAAAUACUUGUUGAAUAUAUGUCUGGAUUUCCCAGAAUUUAAUUGGAAUUCUCAUGUUCCCCCAAACUUGUAUACAUGUAGGGCCACCUCAAAGUCUGAGCGGUGAGAUGAGUGUUCCCUUGCUCAAGAGUUAUUUUCUCUGGGGGAAAAAAAUUGAGAUGUUUAAUUCCUAAGAAGUGCAAAUUCUACAUAUUUUGCUGUACCAAAAAUAAUCACCCUCUUCAUAAAAAUUUCAAAGGCACAAGGAGGACCUCAGCAUGCAUUCCAGAAAAAAAGGCUGAAAAGGGUAGAGCAGCAGAGGCUGGUGCCAUACAGUCGACCCAUGAGCACUGUGUAUGUAUGGCCAGGGAGCUCCAGGACACCACUCAUCAACUAGAGAGCUCUAUAAUCAGCAGCAGAGAGCAGGCAGCCUCAGGCUUCAGACUCCUAAAAGUUUUGACUGCAUCCCAGGAAAUGUCUGAAAAUUUGAACAAGUGUGAAUUACUGGGUUAUUAACACAAUUCUUCACAAUGGUUCAGGUGCCCUUAGAAGACUUUCGGCCCCUCUUAGGGAUGGUGCUAGCCUUUCCCUCUGGAGGAGAAUUGCGCAGCGGAAGGAGGCCAGGCUUGGGCUUUAGAGUUGUGUUAAAACUCAGUUCAAAUCUACUACUCACUGAUUCUGGGAACUUCGAAUUUCUAUGUCUUACAUGUAAAAUAAGGUUAGACAUAGCUCUCUAAUAGGAGUUUGUAAUAAUUGCAGAUACUGUUUAUAAAACAUCCACCAUAGUGCAGAACACAGAGCAUUAUUAUUUUCCACCACUAUGACUAUAGUUGAUGCAAUAUUAAAAGGUAAGAUGCAUAUAUUAACUUCAGUCAACAUAAAGAGACAUUCUGUGUGGCUACAUUACAGCAUAAAGCAAGGAUGAAGCAUAAACCUUCUGAAAAUCCAGUGUUUAUUAA